CCUGACGAAGCAACGCCGCGUGGAGGAUGAAGGCCUUCGGGUCGUAAACUCCUGUCGACCGGGACGAAAGCAGUCUGGGUAAAUAGCCCGGGCUGUUGACUGUACCGGUGGAGGAAGCCACGGCUAACUCUGUGCCAGCAGCCGCGGUAAUACAGAGGUGGCAAGCGUUGUUCGGAAUUACUGGGCGUAAAGGGCGCGUAGGCGGUUCGAUAAGUCCCGUGUGAAAGCCCCCGGCUCAACUGGGGAACUGCACGGGAAACUGACGGACUUGAGUUCGGGAGAGGGAAGCGGAAUUCCGGGUGUAGCGGUGAAAUGCGUAGAUAUCCGGAGGAACACCGGUGGCGAAGGCGGCUUCCUGGACCGACACUGACGCUGAGGCGCGAAAGCUAGGGGAGCAAACGGGAUUAGAUACCCCGGUAGUCCUAGCUGUAAACGAUGAGCGCUGGGUGUAGGGGGUGUUAACCCCUCCUGUUCCGAAGCUAACGCAUUAAGCGCUCCGCCUGGGGAGUACGGUCGCAAGGCUG
RNAcentral lists this ribosomal RNA (524 nucleotides) under uncultured Acidobacteriota bacterium. RNAcentral's name for it is "bacterial SSU rRNA". It matches the Rfam family "Bacterial small subunit ribosomal RNA", at positions 382 to 896 of the family's 1533-position model. The record is from RNAcentral. Lineage: Bacteria; Pseudomonadati; Acidobacteriota.